CAGUCGCCACGGGAAUACGUAGGUGGCAAGCGUUGUCCGGAAUUAUUGGGCGUAAAGGGCUCGCAGGCGGUUUCUUAAGUCUGAUGUGAAAGCCCCCGGCUCAACCGGGGAGGGUCAUUGGAAACUAGGAAACUUGAGUGCAGAAGAGGAGAGUGGAAUUCCACGUGUAGCGGUGAAAUGCGUAGAGAUGUGGAGGAACACCAGUGGCGAAGGCGACUCUCUGGUCUGUAACUGACGCUGAGGAGCGAAAGCGUGGGGAGCGAACAGGAUUAGAGACCCCCGUAGUCCCUGUCUCUUAUAC
This 301-nucleotide ribosomal RNA is filed under the name uncultured bacterium. RNAcentral describes it as "partial 16S ribosomal RNA". It matches the Rfam family "Bacterial small subunit ribosomal RNA", at positions 509 to 807 of the family's 1533-position model. The record is from RNAcentral.